Molecule: ribosomal RNA, 2917 nt
Filed under: Phocaeicola vulgatus
Lineage: Bacteria; Pseudomonadati; Bacteroidota; Bacteroidia; Bacteroidales; Bacteroidaceae
Description: bacterial LSU rRNA
Rfam family: Bacterial large subunit ribosomal RNA
Source: RNAcentral
GGAUAAGGAAAGUAAAAAAGGGCGCAUGGCGGAUGCCUUGGCUCUCGGAGGCGAUGAAGGACGUGAUAAGCUGCGAUAAGCUUUGGGGAGGUGCAAAUGACCUUUGAUCCAGAGAUUUCCGAAUGGGACAACCCAAUAUCUUGAAGAGGUAUUAUCNNNNNNNNNNNNNNNNNNNNNNNNNNNNNNNNNNNGAGGCUAACGCAGGGAACUGAAACAUCUUAGUACCUGCAGGAAAAGAAAAUAAACAAUGAUUCCCCCAGUAGUGGCGAGCGAACGGGGAACAGCCCAAACCAUCCAUGUUACGGCAUGUGUGGGGUUGUAGGACUACGCCGUUGCAUGAAGACAUCAGAGAAGAACUUUCUGGAAAGAAAGACCAUAGAGCAUGACAGUUGCGUAUUCGAAUGUUGUCGAAGCAUAGUAGUAUCCUGAGUAGCGCGGAGCACGAGGAAUUCUGCGUGAAUCUGCCGGGACCAUCCGGUAAGGCUAAAUACUCCCGAGAGACCGAUAGCGAACCAGUACCGUGAGGGAAAGGUGAAAAGCACUUCGAACAGAAGAGUGAAAUAGUUCCUGAAACCGUGCGCCUACAAGCGGUCGGAGCUCGUUAAUGAGUGACGGCGUGCCUUUUGCAUAAUGAACCUACGAGUUGCCUUUGCCGGCAAGGUUAAGUGUGACGACACACGUAUCCGAAGCGAAAGCGAGUCUGAAUAGGGCGUAUAGUCGGCAGUGGCAGACGCGAAACCAAGUGAUCUACCCUUGGCCAGGUUGAAGGCUGGGUAACACCAGCUGGAGGACCGCACCAAUAAGCGUUGAAAAGCUUCUGGAUGAGCUGAGGGUAGGGGUGAAAGGCUAAUCAAACUUGGAGAUAGCUCGUACUCCCCGAAAUGCAUUUAGGUGCAGCCUUGCGGGUUACUGAUGUGAGGUAGAGCGACUGAUAAGAUGCGAGGGCUUCACCGCCUAUCAAGUCUUGACAAACUCCGAAUGCGCAUCAGUUCUACCGCAGGAGUGAGGGCAUGGGUGCUAAGGUCCGUGCCCGAGAGGAGAAGAAUCCGGACCACCUGCUAAGGUCCCGAAAUGACAGCUAAGUUAAACUAACGAAGUCUGACUGCUAAGACAGCUAGGAUGUUGGCUUGGAAGCAGCCAUUCAUUUAAAGAGUGCGUAACAGCUCACUAGUCGAGGAGUCGGGCGUGGAUAAUAAUCGGGUAUCAAGUUGUCUACCGAAGCAGUGGGAUCAUUUAUAUGAUCGGUAGGGGAGCAUUCCAGUCAGCGUCGAAGGCGUACCGUGAGGUAUUCUGGAGCGUCUGGAAAAGCAAAUGUAGGUAUAAGUAACGAUAAAGGGGGCGGGAAACCCCCUCGCCGAAAGACUAAGGUUUCCUGAUCAACGCUAAUCGGAUCAGGGUCAGUCGGGUCCUAAGGCUCAGCCGAACGGCGAUGCCGAUGGCAGAAACGGUUAAUAUUCCGUUACUACCUUCAGGAGUGACGUGGAGACGCAGUAGUGACAGUGCCGCCAUCUGACGGAAUAGAUGGUUGAAGGGUGUAGGAGUCGAUCAUGGCAGGCAAAUCCACCAUGAGAUCCGAACCUGAUAGUAUGCCGCGUCCUUCGGGACAAGGCAAUAGUGCGCGUAAGCAUGCUGCCGAGAAAAUCCGCUAAACUUAAUCCUGUAGGUACCCGUACCGCAAACGGACACACGUAGUCGGGAUGAAUAUUCUAAGGCGCUUGAGUGAUUCACGGUUAAGGAACUAGGCAAACUGACCCUGUAACUUCGGGAUAAAGGGUCCCUACCCUUUUAUGGGAGGGCGCAGAGAAUCGGUCCAGGCAACUGUUUAACAAAAACACAGGGCUGUGCCAAAUCGAAAGAUCCAGUAUACAGCCUGACACCUGCCCGGUGCUGGAAGGUUAAGAGGAGAUGUCAUCGAUAAGAGAAGCGUUGAAUUGAAGCCCCAGUAAACGGCGGCCGUAACUAUAACGGUCCUAAGGUAGCGAAAUUCCUUGUCGGGUAAGUUCCGACCUGCACGAAUGGUGUAAUGAUCUGGACGCUGUCUCAACCGUGAGCUCAGUGAAAUUGUAGUAUCGGUGAAGAUGCCGAUUACCCGCGAUGGGACGAAAAGACCCCGUGAACCUUUACUAUAGCUUAUCAUUGAAUCUGGGCACGUGAUGUGUAGGAUAGGUCGGAGGCUUUGAAGCAGGUACGCCAGUAUUUGUGGAGCCGCUGUUGAAAUACGACCCUUUAUUUGUUUGGAUUCUAACCCGUGGUACGGGGACAUUGAUUGGUGGGUAGUUUGACUGGGGUGGUCGCCUCCAAAAGCGUAACGGAGGCUUCUAAAGGUGCCCUCCGGCCGAUUGGUAACCGGCCUUAGAGUGUAAUGGCAUAAGGGCGCUUGACUGGGAGACUAACAAGUCGAUCAGGUAGGAAACUAGAGCAUAGUGAUCCGGUGUUUCCGUAUGGAAGGGACAUCGCUCAAAGGAUAAAAGGUACUCCGGGGAUAACAGGCUGAUCCCUCCCAAGAGCUCAUAUCGACGGAGUGGUUUGGCACCUCGAUGUCGGCUCGUCACAUCCUGGGGCUGGAGAAGGUCCCAAGGGUUGGGCUGUUCGCCCAUUAAAGUGGCACGCGAGCUGGGUUCAGAACGUCGUGAGACAGUUCGGUCUCUAUCUAUCGUGGGCGUAUGAAAUUUGCGUGGCUCUGACACUAGUACGAGAGGACCGUGUUGGACAGACCUCUGGUUUGCCGGUUGUGCCGCCAGGUGCAUUGCCGGGUAUCUAAGUCUGGAUCGGAUAAGUGCUGAAAGCAUCUAAGUACGAAGCCGGCCACAAGAUUAGAUUUCUCAGGGUCGUUGUAGACUACGACGUUGAUAGGAUGCAGGUGUAAAGAUGGAGACAUCAAAGCCGAGCAUUACUAAUUGCCCGUUCACUUUCCUUA